AAGAAGCAUAAUUCUUUAACUCUCUUGGGCAGAAGUAAUGACUUUCUAAAAAUGAUAUUACUCCAUGAUUAAACAGAAGAAAAUGCCACUGUGUUAAAAACAGCUUGCCUCACACCCCGAAGCUCUUGAUACUAUAAAUAGAGGAGGCUGGCAGCCUACAGCUCACCAUCUUCUACUGCACUGACAUGCCGUAGUGCUAGCAAGGGAUGUGAUUGCUGUGUUCACCUGAGGAAGCAGUACAGGUAACAAGUUUGGAUGGAUACAGUGUGGGUGUGACUGCUAAAGAAAUGCAAUAACAAUGACAUUAAAGGAAACAGAGUUUGAUAUCUCCAGACUUACAAGGACAAAAAUGAAACAUAAAAAUAAAAUUAAGACAAACACCUCAUACAAUCUGAGACUUGCCUUGCAGAAGAAAAAUCAUUUUAAAAAGUACUUGGAGGACACAACCUUACAGAGGAAGAUGCUAGGAUUAUUCUGAAAUUGUUAGCCUCUCUGUUUAAUUGAUAAAGUUAUUUUAUCUUGUGGAAAAAUGAUAGAUGUGUUACAAGGUUGCAUUCAUCCCAGGAUAAAGUGAAGAAAAAGAAGAAAAAAGAAAAAGAUGUUGCCCCCCCGCCCCCAGGAAAAAAAAAAAAAAAAAAAAAAAGAGAAAAGUGAUGUUGACCAGAGAAAGAUUAGAUCAGGUCACCUGGAUGAGAUGUGUGCUCAGAUCUCACCUUAGGCUUACACGCUUCAGCAGCCAUGACUCUUUCACUCAGACAGUACCAGCAGGGUGCCAAGAACUGGGGCAAGGACAGGGACCAGCUGGAAAGAUGCAUCACUGGCCCCUGUCAGAUAAGAGCAGAAAGGUCCUCAAAGCAGAACCUUCUCACACCUCCUUCUAAGGCAGUCCUGACCCCUGCCAUAUCUCUACCUGCUCACAAUGGAUCACAGUGCUGCUCAGUUGCCCUCCUCCUCCAUGCACAACAUGGUGACAUGAGCAUGCUAGUGCCUUCACUUCUCCGAGGCCAACAGCAUAACCAGUCUCACAAGGAUCAGUCACAAAUGUGGCAGUGAAAUCCAGCAAGAGUCAAAGCAUCACUGAACUCAUUGUACCGGAGAUUGAAGGAACGUGACAAGCAGCACAGGAGAAAAUGCCCAUUGCUAACCACAGAGACAAAGCACUGGGUACAGCCAGCAACAGAGCUGCAGAUUUAUUCUUUGUGCCACCACAGCAGCAGCAGUUCGGCUCAGUCCCUGCACACCUCCCUCCAGCUUUGCCUGUCAGGGUCAUGCUGCAGAAUAUGGCUGCUUCCAAGAGGAGAGGAGCAGGCAGGAAACCACAGCUGAAUUGCCCAAAAGACUCGGACACUUUGUAAUUGCCUGCUGGUGGGUAGGGUCCUCAACACUGCGUUUGUUCCUUAAAGGUCAGAGCGCAUUCUCCUUAAAAAAUCUCAGGGCACAUUUGUGCUCUACUGCAUGCUUUCUAUUUCCUUCAGAAACUGGCACAGGGAAAGCAGAGCUGAUUUUAGACUAGAGGAGCGAUGCCUGUUCUAGGAAUGCUUUAUUUAUUUAUUUAUUUUCUCAGACUCGAUGAUUUGUAUUUCCAAUCUCCUCGAACUUUCAGGAGCCUUCCAGUCAGCAAAGGUGAGAAGAUACCAAGCUGGCAAUUUUCCCCUGCUGCUAUUACUGGUUUAGUUUGAAAUCAACAUUGCUUUAACAUGCUCCUGCAGUUAAUAUACUGCAUUGAGGAGCUGAGGAGGAAAGAGAAGGGCAACAACCAAUUCACCUGCCAGCUUAAUGGCCUAUUUGGAUAAAGCUAAAAGCAAACUGUGGUUUUGACUGUAAGCAGUGAUGUCCUCAGAGCCAGAGAUGUUAUUACAUACUUGUGAUCAAUAUAUAUUACAAAGCAAUGUCAUUUUCUUUUUCUGCUUUAACCUGUGGAAGGCGUAUGUCUCUAAAACAUUAAAGUAAGUCACAAUAUUGAUAAUUACAGGUUCUAAAUUCCUUGCCUUACAUGGCUACAAUAAGAAUGUUAUGAAGCCUAAAAUUCAAAUUAUCAACACGCCAAGAUAUUCAGGAAAAGGACAAAUGAAAUACAAUCACAAACGACAGAUCUGAAUCAGAGCUUACGGCAAAUACAAACUGAAGUUACCUUGAAGCUUAGAAAGAGUAACUGCCUGUAUUCCCUGUUUAAACAAAAGUACAACAUAUGACUUUACAGCUCACAGAAGGUUUUGGACAAAUGACUCUGGACACUCUCACCUUCUAGUGAUCCAUAGAAACUAUUUGUAUUUAACCAUUAACACAUCCAUAGCUGUGAAUAAUUGUAUUUAUUCUGAGAAAAUGGACAUUUAUAAUAGCAUUUUUGUGUUAAAUAAUCUUUUGUUCAUUGAAGAUGAGACAAGGACAACCUAGCCGAGACAGCAAUGAUUUCUUUGUAUCAUCUUUGGUGAUCUCACUAUAAAUCAUUUAUUUCUUUCCUUUAUUUCCAUAAACCUGCCCUUUAUUCUUGCUUCCAGCUCUCCCUCGGAAAACACCUCAUAUUCCUGCAUUCUUCAUGAGGAGCACACACCAUUUAUCCAUUGUAGCUGUUUGUACAGCUCCCAUCGGCAAGGUUUGAACAGACCAAAAGGCUCUCAGUCCCUUUGCCAAUUCCCUGAACUACCCAGUGCCAGUUCCUUUCUGACUCUAACUCUGCUUCUCUCUUUGGUACAUGUCCGUAAUUUUAUGGCAACAGACAUGGCCAGACAUGGAAGUAAGAAACAGUGAAAAAAGAGUAACAUCUAAAGGAUAUCUAUACAUAUACAAUGCUGCAAACUGUUUACACUAAUUCCUGGUGAAUAAAUUGGAUUCUUUUUUCUUAA
This is a long non-coding RNA of Oxyura jamaicensis (ruddy duck), 2843 nucleotides long. RefSeq lists it as uncharacterized. The record is from RefSeq and is a predicted model, not a curated record. The transcript is spliced from 2 exons. Lineage: Eukaryota; Metazoa; Chordata; Aves; Anseriformes; Anatidae.